AGGGGGCAAGGGCGGCAGCCCAUUGUGGUCUGGCUGAGGAAAUGUGGCUGGAAGGAGAGGGGUGGGGGAAACGAGAAACUUCAGGGACCGUCAUGGCUCCCGGUGUGAAGACAGAGCUGGCAAGCAGACCGGGCCCUGGGCUCGGCCCCAGGCAGCAAGUCAACUGCCUCUGCAGAGGUGCUAGUGUCCGUUGGCUACAGUGGGCUUGGGACAGCAGAGGAGAGCCAAACAGACUCCUCCAGGAGCCCGCAUCUGAGGGGGUCAGGGAGCUGAACCUGGGGAGCCUCCAGCGGAGGGCGGGGAUCCCCUCCACCCUGCAAGGCUAUUGCCUCACGCUCCCCAGGUACAUCUGAGGUUUCUCUGGGCUCCUGGAAACAGAGCUGGGGAAUCCCAGAAGCACUUUGAAUCACCUCCUUUAGUGUCCUGUGCCUGGUGCCUCAGCCCUAGGAAAAUCUUAGCUGGGGAGUAGCCACAAUGAAAACUGAAAGGGAGAGCGACAGGGCGUGGCGUCUGCUGACACAGCCCGGCUGCCGGCUCAGUCCGGGAGGGAGCAGCUCGUCCAUCACCAGAGCUGGACCAUGGAGUCCGUGGGAGAGUGGAGCCGGCCCUCACCAAAUCAAAGGGAGGCAGGAAGCGGGGAGCAGGGAAGGAGGAAGGAGUAGGGCUAGAACCAAACCUUCCCAUUUUCUGCACAGAAGGCAGAGGGUGGGACUUUGAAGGGCUGGGGACAUUCUACCGCUUCCUUUCCCUGGGAGUGUGAGAGGGGGUGUCUCUGCACACUCGGGAGCCCCCCAAGCCCCCUGGAAACCGGGCCCCACGGCCAUCCAGGUACAGAGCCCAGCUCCCGGCGGGGUGCACGUUGCCUUCCCCGCUGACCUCUAUGCUGGUCCCUGGCCCUGGGGCUCCGGGCCAGGCUGAAGCUCAGAGAGCCACGCUGUGCUGUACCUCUGCGGCAGGCGGGACGGGCAGGGUGGCUGUGCUGACCAACUCCACCCUGGGCACGGAUUAUGGCCAAGGAGCCUGGCCAGCGCUGGCAGCUUCUGCAGCCCAGAGAAAGCCACACUCUGCAAACACUGAGCCACUUGGCUGCCCAUCCCGGGUUUGGGUGAGCAUCCAGGGCACUGAGCUCCGCCCGCCGUGGGAACGGGGUGUGUGGGCCCUUCUCCUACCACAACAGCUCCGGGUUCCCUCCAUCCUGGGGUCCCCGUGGGGGUGCCCCCGGGAGGUCUUGCUCGGCCUUUCCUUCUGCCCCCACCUACGGCGACACUGUUGGGACGUGAGACUCAUUAUCCAGGUCACUCUCCUUGGUGCUUUGCUGAUAUUUUGUCACUUAACCUCUCUGUAACCCAGGGUCAUGCUGCAACUACUGUUCCCGCUCUACAGGAUGAACACGCUGGGGCCCCAAGAAGGGUGGCUCGCCCAGGGGCCACAGUCAGCACUGCAGGAGCCAGGACAGCCCCUCUCCACCUCCUCAGUGUCACUGCACUACCCAAGACCUAGCUGCUGCCACACCUACAGCUUCCCAGUUCCUCCCAAGAAGGGAUCCCGAACACUGGGCACAGGACACAGACCCUCUGGAUAAGCGACAUGGCGGUGGCAGGGGCUGGGUGACAGGACCUUUGGCUCGGCCUGAACAGAAGUGUGGCCUGACCUGGCUCACCUGGCAGGUAGGGAGAGGGCGGGGACCAGCACCAGGCGACAAGGAAGCACUUGCUUGGUGUGAGCCCUGGGCCAGGCACUUGCAAGAUGGACAUUCAGCCCAGGGCAGAGCCAGCCAGCUGUGUGAACAGCUGUUUUAGGGCUGGUGCCCUGUGGGGACAGCCUCUACUUCAUGUGACCAAGGCUUUGUCCUUCCCACCCACCGCUACCCUAAAGACCAAAAGGGAGACAUAAAUAACCCCUAGAGCAUCCAAGAGGGCAGAAAGGGCUAACUUGCAAGGGAAGACAGAGUUCAGGGGCCGCCUGUCCCAUAGAAAAAGAUAUUUCUGUUUUGCUUUGUUUUGGUACCGGGGAUCGAAAUCGGACCCUCGCGCUUGAGAGACAGGCACCAGAACCACUGAGCUAAAUCCCCAGCCCUUGCCUGUCCUGUAAGAUGCGUUGAUGUCCUUCACGUUCCUAGAACAGCCUGUAGGGCCACGCUUCACUCCAGGCCCCGGGCACCCAGACAGAAAAUGAGGGGUCACAGCCCUGGGUGUAAUAUGAGAGGUAGAGAGGAGCCAAAGGAGUCAGCGCUGGAGUCAGAGGCUGCCAGCCGCCAGGAGAGAAGCAUUAACCUGGGAGGGUUCAGAGGGGUGAAUCUCCAACCAGGCUUGGGAGGCAAAUAGGAACGAUGGCCUCUUUCCCCGGGGAACCACGGGAACAGAGUGAAACUCAGAUGAGAUAGUGAAGGGACCAGUAUAUUAUACCCUGAGGGAGGGAAAAAAGGAAUUCUAUUGUCACAGUGAGAAAAGUGAGGUCCAGAGAGGAGAUGUGACUCGUCCAACAGCAAUCAAUGAGGGUGAAAGUGAACACAGGACUCAAACUGGCCCUGAUUCCAGCUCGAGGUUCUGGCUCCACUACACUGAAUUCCUGGUGCGUUUGGUCAGCUUUCUGUUACUGUAACAAAAUACCAGAGAUUAACAAUUGAAAGUGAAGAAAGGUUUAUUUGACUCACGGUUUUGGAGGUUUCCGUCCACAGCCACCCGGCCCUGCUUCUUUUGGGCCUGUGGCAAGGCAGGACAUUAUGGCUGGAGCGUAAUCAUGGCGGAGAAGCCGUUCAUCUCACAGUGGCUGGGAAACAGAGAAAGAAAGCAAGGCGCUGGGGUCCUGGUAUCCCCUUCAAGGGCCCAACCUUCAGCCCACUAGGCCUCUCCUCUUAAAGCUUCACCACUUUCCGAUAGCACCACGGGCUAGGGACCAAGUCUGGAACACAUGGGCCUUUGAGGUACCUUCAAGACCCAAGCAUAGCACCAGAGAGUGCAUUUCAUAGUUAGGACUGCCUUUCUCUUUAUGAUGCUAAUACAGGUUGGGGGUCCUUUACACUGUAGUAUAAACUAGUGAUCUACAUGCCUGGCAUAGACAGCAAUAAAAAGGAUUUAAGGGGAAUAUAAAAGUGAAGAGGCCAGGAUGAGAAGGGACAAUUGGGGAACAUAUACAUUUUGGGCCCAGAAGGGGCCUCAAAGAACCUAGGCAAGGGCGUGGGGGUGAGAAAGAGUGUCUAAAGUCAGAAAGAGUGCCAAAUACAAACCUAGCAGAGUAUCUGAAGGCUGGGUCCAGACCCUCCUCCCCAGGGUGAGGGGUAGGGCCUGGAGUUAAGACUGCAGAGACCUACAGACCCCGCUGGUCCCCCAGGACCACCAGAGCUGCCCUGGGAGCACGGGGCCUAGCUCAUUUCCCCUUCCUUGUGCAGAAGAGGAGAGGAAAAGAAACAAGAACCAGAGACAGUCACUGCGCUCCCAGGGCCACCCUGUCCCUCCUGGAAAGGCCGGCAGAAGCCUGGCUGCUGCCAGGGGAUUUGUUUAGUAGAAACCGAGGUUGGCAGGAAGCAUCUCGUCCCUCACCUGGAAGCUUAAGUCUAGAACCUCAUUCGCAGUCUAAGGAACUCUGAACACUGUACAGUUUUGUAUUUUAUUUCCCUUCCAUGAUCUCUGCUGACUUCACCCACUCCGCCCUCCCUCCACCUGCCAUGGAAACGAAUUUAGAGGAAA
Long non-coding RNA from Fukomys damarensis (Damara mole-rat), 3686 nucleotides. RefSeq lists it as uncharacterized. The record is from RefSeq and is a predicted model, not a curated record. The transcript has 2 exons. Lineage: Eukaryota; Metazoa; Chordata; Mammalia; Rodentia; Bathyergidae.